CCCGGGUUGNACUCAGAUCACUUCGCCUGUUUAACAAAAACAUUUCUCUCUGAGGUUAGAUGGAGAGUAGGGCCUGCCCGGUGAUAUAGUAAACGGCUGCGGUAUUUUGACCGUACGAAGGUAGCAUAAUAAGUUGUCUUUUAAUUGGAGACUGGUAUGAAUGGCAAGAUAAGAGAGUUACUGUAUAGAAAUAACUAUAGAAUUUGAUUAUUGAGUAAAAAGGCUCAGAUAUUUCAAAGUGACAAGAAGACCCUAAGAGUUUUAUUUUUAUGUGAGAAAUAAUUCAAUGUGGAGUAUUGUAUUUUUUUAUAUAAAGGUUUAGCUGGGGCGGUUGAAAUAAUUAACUAUUGGUGAUUAGUACAAGAAUAGGUGAAAUGAUAAUAAGAACUAUAUCCUAAUUAGGAAAUCGAGAAUAAUUACCUUAGGGAUAACAGCAUAAUCUUUUUUGAGAGACCGAAUUGACAGAAAGGUUUGUGACCUCGAUGUUGGAUUUAGAUAAUUACAAGGAGCAGCAUUUUUGUAAAUUGGUUUGUUCAACCAUUAAAUUCUAACGUGAUCUGAGUUCAAACCCANGAA
RNAcentral lists this ribosomal RNA (576 nucleotides) under Postasterope corrugata. Its description in RNAcentral is "partial 16S ribosomal RNA". It matches the Rfam family "Bacterial large subunit ribosomal RNA", at positions 1771 to 2623 of the family's 2925-position model. Lineage: Eukaryota; Metazoa; Arthropoda; Ostracoda; Myodocopida; Cylindroleberididae. The record is from RNAcentral.